UUUUUUUUUUUUGCCCUUUUCAUUCUUGAAUAAAGGUUGAUGAAACUGCAAGAAAUUUGAACAGACAUUGCUUUAGCAGUUUAGCACCAUUCUUUGAAAUUUUGGAUAUUACCAUCUCCAACACAGGGCACAAAAUGGAUAUGGGUUAAUCAGGGAGCUUUAUCCAGUGUCUUUUGUGCUUUUUGGUAUUUAGGGCAGGGAGCUUUGCACUAAGAGGUUUGUGGAUUUCUGUGCAGGUGUGAUGUUUAUAGUUUUGGCAUCAUUUUGUGGGAAUUAGCAACCCUCAGACUACCUUGGAAUGGGAUGAAUCCAAUGCAGGUUGUGGGUGCUGUAGGCUUUCAAAAUCGCCGUCUUGAUAUACCAAAGGAAGUUGAUCCAUUAGUAGCUAGAAUAAUUUGGGAAUGUUGGCAAACGGACCCAAAUCUGCGCCCUUCAUUUAGUCAACUCACAGUGGCAUUGAAACCAUUGCAGCGGCUUGUCAUCCCUUCGCACAUAGAUCAGCCAAGCCAACCCAUGCCUCAGGAGAUCUCGGUGAAUUCCACGCCUUAAGACACAUCUCAGAUCCUCAACUGUGAAAAAAUAUUGUUGUGUUUGCACAGGAUGACGAACAUGAACUAUUCAGAGAAAGUGAUAAAGUUUUGGAGUCGCUUCCCUGAUGGAAACAAAAGCUGGGGAUUUGCUGUUUGAGUUGGGAGUCAGAACUCAAAUUUGCGAAUGCAGUUUUAAGGUCAAAAGCAAAAGUUAAUGUGUGUGUAUUGUUUCUGCAGCUCAAAACUUGCUGUGGCUCUUCUUGUACAGUGGCUUGUGCAUAUGUGAUCCCAAUGCUUAAAAUGUAUAGCUUGAUGUCUUGUAAUAUUUCUUGUUGGUCUCAUUAAAAAUAUUGAAAAGCUACCAUGUUAUCAUUGCUCGGCGCAAAAAAAAAAAAAAUCAUUUUAAGCCGAUAAUAAUUGCUGCUAUUUGCCAUUGGAACACA
This is a non-coding RNA of Coffea arabica (coffee), 973 nucleotides long. The record is from RefSeq and is a predicted model, not a curated record. NCBI's taxonomy places the organism in Eukaryota, Viridiplantae, Streptophyta, Magnoliopsida, Gentianales, Rubiaceae.